AGUCUUUGUGGAGCACGGUGUCCAAGUCCCUUGGAACAGGGCGCCUGAAAGGGUGAGAGCCCCGUGGGGUGCCGUGCGAAGCUCUGAGGCCCUGCUGACGAGUCGAGUUGUUUGGGAAUGCAGCUCCCAGUGGGUGGUAAAUUCCAUCUAAGGCUAAAUACUGGCGAGAGACCGAUAGCGAACAAGUACUGUGAAGGAAAGAUGAAAAGCACUUUGAAAAGAGAGUGAAACAGCACGUGAAAUUGUUGAAAGGGAAGGGUAUUGGGCCCGACAUGGGGAGUGCGCACCGCUGUCUCUUGUAGGCGGCGCUCUGGGCGCUCUCUGGGCCAGCAUCGGUUCUUGCUGCGGGAGAAUGGG
RNAcentral lists this ribosomal RNA (357 nucleotides) under Pichia membranifaciens. RNAcentral's name for it is "partial large subunit ribosomal RNA". It matches the Rfam family "Eukaryotic large subunit ribosomal RNA", at positions 159 to 526 of the family's 3401-position model. Lineage: Eukaryota; Fungi; Ascomycota; Pichiomycetes; Pichiales; Pichiaceae. The record is from RNAcentral.